AGCGGCAGGCUUAACACAUGGCAAGUCGAGGGGCAGCACGGGUAGCAAUACCUGGUGGCGACCGGCGGCAAGGGUGCGUUAACGCGUGAGCAACAUGCCCUAUACAGGGGGAUAAUCCAGGGAAACUUGGUCUAAUAUCCCAUAGGUAUUUAGAGGAGGCAUCUUCUAUAAAUUAAAGCUUCGGUGGUAUAGGAUUGGCUCGCGUGACAUUAGCUAGAUGGUGAGGUAACGGCUCACCAUGGCAAUCGAUGUCUAGGGGUUCUGAGAGGAAGGCCCCCCACACUGGGACUGAGACACGGCCCAGACUCCUACGGGAGGCAGCAGUGAGGAAUAUUGGACAAUGGAUGGAAAUCUGAUCCAGCCAUGCCGCGUGCAGGAAGACAGCCCUAUGGGUUGUAAACUGCUUUUAUAUGGGAGCAAUAAGGUCUACGUGUAGACUGAUGAGAGUACCAUAUGAAUAAGCAUCGGCUAACUCCGUG
Molecule: ribosomal RNA, 479 nt
Filed under: uncultured bacterium
Lineage: Bacteria
Description: bacterial SSU rRNA
Rfam family: Bacterial small subunit ribosomal RNA
Source: RNAcentral